AUUAAUAAGCGGAGGAAAAGAAACUAACAAGGAUUCCCUCAGUAACGGCGAGUGAAGCGGGAAGAGCUCAAAUUUGAAAUCUCCGGUGCUUGCAUCGGCGAGUUGUAAUUGCGAGAAGCACUUUCUAGGCGGAUCGGCCGUGCCUAAGUUGCUUGGAACAGCAGGUCGCAGAGGGUGACAACCCCGUCUGUGGCUCGGCCGGCCGCUGACGAUGUGCUUUCGAAGAGUCGGGUUGUUUGGGAAUGCAGCCCAAAAUGGGUGGUAAACUCCAUCUAAAGCUAAAUACUGGCGUGAGACCGAUAGCGAACAAGUACCGUGAGGGAAAGAUGAAAAGAACUUUGAAAAGAGAGUUAAAAAGUACGUGAAACCGUUGAAAGGGAAACGAAUGGACUCAGCAAUGCGCCGUUUGAGAUUCAGCCGGUGGGCGGCUUCGGCGCCGGGUUUGCGGAUCUGAAUGGACCGCGGCCCGGUGCUCGUGGCUUCCCGCCGUCGCACUUCUCUUGGGCGCGCGUCAACGUCGGUUGGGACUGGGUCUGAAAGGUGCCGGGAAGGUAGGUGUGGGCCUUCGGGUCCGUUCUGUUACAGCCCGGCUCUCUCCUGGCUCGGGCCCGACCGAGGCGUUGCAGGGCAUGCCUCUUGUGGCUAGGGUCCCGUCCUUCCGGCCGGCUGUCGAAUGCGGUGGACUGCUUGCAGUGCUCGGCGAACGCUGCCGGUCGUUGGGGUGGUGAUCUCGUACCAUGCCCUUAGGAUGUUGGCGGUC
RNAcentral lists this ribosomal RNA (760 nucleotides) under Acanthastrea echinata. RNAcentral's name for it is "eukaryotic LSU rRNA". It matches the Rfam family "Eukaryotic large subunit ribosomal RNA", at positions 42 to 634 of the family's 3401-position model. The record is from RNAcentral. Lineage: Eukaryota; Metazoa; Cnidaria; Anthozoa; Scleractinia; Lobophylliidae.